RNAcentral lists this ribosomal RNA (497 nucleotides) under uncultured bacterium. RNAcentral's name for it is "partial 16S ribosomal RNA". It matches the Rfam family "Bacterial small subunit ribosomal RNA", at positions 28 to 507 of the family's 1533-position model. The record is from RNAcentral.
GAUGAACGCUGGCGGCGUGCCUAAUACAUGCAAGUCGAGCGAACAGACGAGGAGCUUGCUCCUCUGACGUUAGCGGCGGACGGGUGAGUAACACGUGGAUAACCUACCUAUAAGACUGGGAUAACUUCGGGAAACCGGAGCUAAUACCGGAUAAUAUAUUGAACCGCAUGGUUCAAUAGUGAAAGGCGGUUUUGCUGUCACUUAUAGAUGUAUCCGCGCCGCAUUAGCUAGUUGGUAAGGUAACGGCUUACCAAGGCGACGAUGCGUAGACGACCUGAGAGGGUGAUCGGCCACACUGGAACUGAGACACGGUCCAGACUCCUACGGGAGGCAGCAGUAGGGAAUCGUACGCAAUGGGCGAAAGCCUGACGGAGCAACGCCGCGUGAGUGAUGAAGGUCUCCGGAUCGUAAAACUCUGUUAUUAGGGAAGAACAAAUGUGUAAGUAACUAUGCACGUCUUGACGGUACCUAAUAAGAAAGCCACGGCUAACUACGUG